RNAcentral lists this ribosomal RNA (469 nucleotides) under uncultured bacterium. RNAcentral's name for it is "partial 16S ribosomal RNA". It matches the Rfam family "Bacterial small subunit ribosomal RNA", at positions 28 to 507 of the family's 1533-position model. The record is from RNAcentral.
GACGAACGCUGGCGGCGUGCUUAACACAUGCAAGUCGAACGGUGAAGCGAGUGCUUGCACUCGUGGAUCAGUGGCGAACGGGUGAGUAACACGUGAGUAACCUGCCCAUCACUCUGGGAUAAGCACUGGAAACGGUGUCUAAUACUGGAUACGACCAACCCUUGCAUGGGGUGUUGGUGGAAAGAUUUAUCGGUGAUGGAUGGACUCGCGGCCUAUCAGCUUGUUGGCGGGGUAAUGGCCCACCAAGGCGACGACGGGUAGCCGGCCUGAGAGGGUGACCGGCCACACUGGGACUGAGACACGGCCCAGACUCCUACGGGAGGCAGCAGUGGGGAAUAUUGCACAAUAGGCGAAAGCCUGAUGCAGCGACGCCGCGUGAGGGAUGACGGCCUUCGGGUUGUAAACCUCUUUCAGCAGGGAAGAAGCGAAAGUGACGGUACCUGCAGAAGAAGCACCGGCUAACUACGUG